Micropterus dolomieu (smallmouth bass) is the source of this 1282-nucleotide long non-coding RNA. RefSeq lists it as uncharacterized. The record is from RefSeq and is a predicted model, not a curated record. The transcript has 6 exons. NCBI's taxonomy places the organism in Eukaryota, Metazoa, Chordata, Actinopteri, Centrarchiformes, Centrarchidae.
UUACCUAUUCACUGUAGAGGAUUACAGUUACAUGCAACACUGCUGAGCAUCAGUGAUAUCGGUGAGAUAGCCCAAAGGACACUAAAAGACCCACCAGCCGCACCCUGUUAAUGCUGCUGCUGUUUGGCAAGAGAUAAAGGUGGAUCUGCUGUCGCACCACCAGACUAACAGAGCAGCUUCUUCAACGCAGUAGAGUGAAGUCGCAGGAUAGUGAGACAAGAAAACACACCGGUCGUUAGUAGUGAACUAGAGUAAUUGUGCAAAUUAAGAGUUUUAACAACGGGUAACUGACAUAUUGUAACCUGCAGAAUGCAGAGGACCAGUAAAAACUCCGUGGACUCCAAAGAUGAUAAGAUGUUUCCCGGUCAGCUGUUACUUCAUCUGGACUCCUCAAUAUGCUUCGCCCAGUUUCUCCACUCAUGUUUCACAUGACGUCUCAAGGAUUUAUGUUUCAGGAAUGAAAAGGUUCCUGCCACAAGAUCUUCAGAGGCAAUCAAGCAUUGGAACAAGGUUUACAGGUGAAGAACAGGUGGCCAACAGAGAGAAGUCCAUCACUAUGGCUGUGCUGCUCCAGAGCAGCCUUAUGAGGACGUUUGGCACAUCAAUCUGAGUGAGGAAGUGGCUUGUGGGAAAAGACCCUGUGCUCCUAAGCUUUAUCCCUCAACACACCACAAAGGCCAUGAUCCUAACAACACACAAGGCCAUGCCUGCAGCUUCACCUUGAUGUUGUUGGAGUCAGUGAGGAACAUGGUGAGACGAUCGAUACCCAUCCCCCAACCGGCAGUCGGUGGCAGUCCGUAUUCCAGUGCUGUGCAGAAGGUCUCAUCAAUGAACAUGGCUUCAUCAUCACCUUCGGCUUUGGCCUAAAAAAGAACACAAAUUAUUAACAUGCACUAAAUCACAGCGCUAUACAACAGUAAGGAGCCUGAACCUUUAGAUAAUGGGACAAUGUACAAGAGCAGAAUUGAAAAAUAUCACUUUUGGCUUUUAUACACACCUUGGCUUGCUGCUCGAAAAGCUCCCUCUGUCUGAUCGGAUCAUUCAACUCAGUGUAGGCAUUGCAGAUUUCCUUCUUCAUCACAAAGAGCUCAAAACGCUCCGUGAGGCCUUUCUGCGAUCUAUGCCUGUAACAAUUGAGAUAGUGUCAGUAUGAAUCUGAGCAUCACAAUUACAAAUAUGAGGAUGAAACAAGGGGUUUCUCACCAUUUUGCUAAGGGACUCAUGAUUUGAGGGUGAUCACAGAUGAAUGUGGGGUUGAUACAGGUGACCUCAAGGAAAUCUC